UACAGAGGGGGCAAGCGUUGUUCGGAAUUACUGGGCGUAAAGGGCGUGUAGGCGGCCUGGUAAGUCGAGCGUGAAAGCCCCGGGCUCAACCCGGGAACUGCGUCCGAUACUGGCAGGCUUGAAUCCGGGAGAGGGAUGCGGAAUUCCAGGUGUAGCGGUGAAAUGCGUAGAUAUCUGGAGGAACACCGGUGGCGAAGGCGGCAUCCUGGACCGGCAUUGACGCUGAGGCGCGAAAGCCAGGGGAGCAAACGGG
RNAcentral lists this ribosomal RNA (253 nucleotides) under uncultured bacterium. RNAcentral describes it as "partial 16S ribosomal RNA". It matches the Rfam family "Bacterial small subunit ribosomal RNA", at positions 524 to 776 of the family's 1533-position model. The record is from RNAcentral.